GCCUCAGCUUGCUAGGGGUACUCGAGUAGGCGAACGGGUGAGUAACACGUAGGGUAGAUCUGCCCUGCACUUCGGGAUAAGCCUGGGAAACUGGGUCUAAUACCGGAUAGGACCAUCGUUUAGUGUCGGUGGUGGAAAGUUUUUCGGUGUGGGAUGAGCUCGCGGCCUAUCAGCUUGUUGGUGGGGUAAUGGCCUACCAAGGCGUACGACGGGUAGCCGGCCUGAGAGGGUGUACGGCCACAUUGGGACUGAGAUACGGCCCAGACUCCUACGGGAGGCAGCAGUGGGGAAUAUUGCACAAUGGGCGCAAGCCUGAUGCAGCGACGCCGCGUGGGGGAUGACGGCCUUCGGGUUGUAAACUCCUUUCGUCAGGGACGAAGCGAAAGUGACGGUACCUGGAUAAGAAGCACCGGCUAACUACGUGCCAGCAGCCGCGGUAAUACGUAGGGUGCGAGCGUUGUCCGGAAUUACUGGGCGUAAAGAGCUCGUAGGUGGUUUGUCGCGUCGUUUGUGGAAUACCGCAGCUUAACUGUGGGGUUGCAGGCGAUACGGGCAUAACUUGAGUGCUGUAGGGGAGACUGGAAUUCCUGGUGUAGCGGUGGAAUGCGCAGAUAUCAGGAGGUACACCGAUGGCGAAGGCAGG
Molecule: ribosomal RNA, 643 nt
Filed under: uncultured Actinomycetales bacterium
Lineage: Bacteria; Bacillati; Actinomycetota; Actinomycetes; Actinomycetales
Description: bacterial SSU rRNA
Rfam family: Bacterial small subunit ribosomal RNA
Source: RNAcentral